AAGGCUUUAGCUUAAUUAAAGUACCUGUUUUGCAUGCAGGCGAUGUGGGAUAGCGGCCCGCUAGUCUUA
RNAcentral lists this transfer RNA (69 nucleotides) under Dissostichus mawsoni (Antarctic toothfish). Its description in RNAcentral is "tRNA-Ala". It matches the Rfam family "tRNA". Rfam says of the family: Transfer RNA (tRNA) molecules are approximately 80 nucleotides in length. Their secondary structure includes four short double-helical elements and three loops (D, anti-codon, and T loops). Lineage: Eukaryota; Metazoa; Chordata; Actinopteri; Perciformes; Nototheniidae. The record is from RNAcentral.